GAUGAGAACGUAGCGAAAUGCGAUAAGUAAUGUGAAUUGCAGAAUUCAGUGAAUCAUCGAAUCUUUGAACGCACAUUGCGCCCGCCAGUAUUCUGGCGGGCAUGCCUGUCCGAGCGUCAUUUCAACCCUCAAGCCCCCGGGCUUGGUGUUGGAGAUCGGCGAGCCCCCCGGGGCGCGCCGUCUCCCAAAUAUAGUGGCGGUCCCGCUGUAGCUUCCUCUGCGUAGUAGCACACCUCGCACUGGGAAACAGCGUGGCCACGCCGUAAAACCCCCCACUUCUGAAAGGUUGACCUCGGAUCAGGUAGGAAUACCCGCUGAACUUAAGCAUAUCAAUAAGCGGAGGA
Molecule: unclassified non-coding RNA, 344 nt
Filed under: soil metagenome
Description: partial contains 5.8S ribosomal RNA, internal transcribed spacer 2, and large subunit ribosomal RNA
Rfam family: 5.8S ribosomal RNA (bases 5-119)
Source: RNAcentral